GAUGAACGCUGGCGGCGUGCCUAAUACAUGCAAGUCGAGCGAACAGACGCGGCGCUUGCUCCUCUCACGUUAGCGGCGGGCGGGUGAGUAACACGUGUAUAACCUACCUAUCAUACUGAGAUAUCUACGGAACACCGGAGCUAAUCGCGGAUAAUAUCUUGAUGCGUAUGGUUCAAUAGUGAAAGACGGCUUUGGUGUCACUUAUCGCUGGUUCUGGGCGGCAUUAGCUAGUUGGUAAGGUCAAGGCCUUUCAAGGCGACGAUGCGUAAACGACCUGUGAGGGGGAUCGGCCACACGGGAGCGGGGACGCGGUCCAGACGCCUGAGGGAGGCAGCAGUAGGGAAUCGGACGCAAUGGGCGAAAGCCUGACGGAGCAAGGCGGCGUGAGUUAUGAAGGCCUUCGGAGCGUAAAACUCGGUUAUGAGGGAAGAACAAAUGUGGAAGGAACUAUGCACGUCGUGACGGUACCUAAUCAGAAAGCCACGGCUAACUACGUG
This 497-nucleotide ribosomal RNA is filed under the name uncultured bacterium. Its description in RNAcentral is "partial 16S ribosomal RNA". It matches the Rfam family "Bacterial small subunit ribosomal RNA", at positions 28 to 507 of the family's 1533-position model. The record is from RNAcentral.